GAUGAACGCUGGCGGCGUGCCUAAUACAUGCAAGUCGAGCGAACGGACGAGAAGCUUGCUUCUCUGAUGUUAGCGGCGGACGGGUGAGUAACACGCGGAUAACCUACCUAUAAGACUGGGAUAACUUCGGGAAACCGGAGCUAAUACCGGAUAAUAUUUUGAACCGCAUGGUUCAAAAGUGAAAGACGGUCUUGCUGUCACUUAUAGAUGGAUCCGCGCUGCAUUAGCUAGUCGGUAAGGUAACGGCUUACCAAGGCAACGAUGCAUAGCCGACCUGAGAGGGUGAUCGGCCACACUGGAACUGAGACACGGUCCAGACUCCUACGGGAGGCAGCAGUAGGGAAUCUUCCGCAAUGGGCGAAAGCCUGACGGAGCAACGCCGCGUGAGUGAUGAAGGUCUUCGGAUCGUAAAACUCUGUUAUUAGGGAAGAACAUAUGUGUAAGUAACUGUGCACAUCUUGACGGUACCUAAUCAGAAAGCCACGGCUAACUACGUG
Molecule: ribosomal RNA, 497 nt
Filed under: uncultured bacterium
Lineage: Bacteria
Description: partial 16S ribosomal RNA
Rfam family: Bacterial small subunit ribosomal RNA
Source: RNAcentral